RNAcentral lists this ribosomal RNA (506 nucleotides) under uncultured bacterium. Its description in RNAcentral is "partial 16S ribosomal RNA". It matches the Rfam family "Bacterial small subunit ribosomal RNA", at positions 30 to 526 of the family's 1533-position model. The record is from RNAcentral.
AUUGAACGCUGGCGGCAGGCCUAACACAUGCAAGUCGAGCGGCAGCGGAAAGUAGCUUGCUACUUUGCCGGCGAGCGGCGGACGGGUGAGUAAUGUCUGGGAAACUGCCUGAUGGAGGGGGAUAACUACUGGAAACGGUAGCUAAUACCGCAUAACGUCGCAAGACCAAAGAGGGGGACCUUCGGGCCUCUUGCCAUCAGAUGUGCCCAGAUGGGAUUAGCUAGUAGGUGGGGUAACGGCUCACCUAGGCGACGAUCCCUAGCUGGUCUGGGAGGAUGGCCAGCCACACUGGAACUGAGGCACGGUCCAGACUCCUACGGGAGGCAGCAGUGGGGAAUAUUGCACAAUGGGCGCAAGCCUGAUGCAGCCAUGCCGCGUGUAUGAAGAAGGCCUUCGGGUUGUAAAGUACUUUCAGCGGGGAGGAAGGUGUUGAGGUUAAUAACCUCAGCAAUUGACGUUACCCGCAGAAGAAGCACCGGCUAACUCCGUGCCAGCCGCCGUAACAC